Molecule: transfer RNA, 72 nt
Filed under: Ixodes scapularis (black-legged tick)
Lineage: Eukaryota; Metazoa; Arthropoda; Arachnida; Ixodida; Ixodidae
Rfam family: tRNA
About the family: Transfer RNA (tRNA) molecules are approximately 80 nucleotides in length. Their secondary structure includes four short double-helical elements and three loops (D, anti-codon, and T loops).
Source: Rfam by way of RNAcentral
GCCCGGCUAGCUCAGUCGGUAGAGCACGAGACUCUUAAUCUCGGGGUCGUGGUUUCGGGAACUUCUCUGGUA